This 158-nucleotide unclassified non-coding RNA is filed under the name uncultured Xenopolyscytalum. Its description in RNAcentral is "sequence contains ITS1". The record is from RNAcentral. Lineage: Eukaryota; Fungi; Ascomycota; Leotiomycetes; Helotiales.
CAGAGAACAUCGCCCUCCGGGUGACUCUCCAACCCUAUGUUAUUAAAUCUUUGUUGCUUUGGCGAGCCGCCUCGGCCACCGGCUUCCGCUGGUGAGCGCUCGCCAGAGGACCCCAAACUCUGUUUAUUAGUGUCGUCUGAGUACUAUAAUAAUAGUUA